Molecule: ribosomal RNA, 467 nt
Filed under: uncultured bacterium
Lineage: Bacteria
Description: partial 16S ribosomal RNA
Rfam family: Bacterial small subunit ribosomal RNA
Source: RNAcentral
GACGAACGCUGGCGGCGUGCUUAACACAUGCAAGUCGAACGGAAAGGCUCCAGCUUGCUGGAGUACUCGAGUGGCGAACGGGUGAGUAACACGUGGGUAAUCUGCCCUGCACUCUGGGAUAAGCCUGGGAAACUGGGUCUAAUACUGGAUAUGACCUUUCUCCUUAUGGGGUUUGGUGGAAAGUUUUUCGGUGUAGGAUGAGCCCGCGGCCUAUCAGCUUGUUGGUGGGGUGAUGGCCUACCAAGGCGACGACGGGUAGCCGGCCUGAGAGGGUGAUCGGCCACAUUGGGACUGAGAUACGGCCCAGACUCCUACGGGAGGCAGCAGUGGGGAAUAUUGCACAAUGGGCGGAAGCCUGAUGCAGCGACGCCGCGUGAGGGAUGACGGCCUUCGGGUUGUAAACCUCUUUCAGCAGGGACGAAGCGUAAGUGAGGGUACCUGAAGAAGAAGCACCGGCUAACUAGGUG